This 483-nucleotide ribosomal RNA is filed under the name uncultured bacterium. RNAcentral's name for it is "partial 16S ribosomal RNA". It matches the Rfam family "Bacterial small subunit ribosomal RNA", at positions 28 to 507 of the family's 1533-position model. The record is from RNAcentral.
GACGAACGCUGGCGGCGUGCUUAACACAUGCAAGUCGAACGCUGAAGCUCAGCUUUUGUUGGGUGGAUGAGUGGCGAACGGGUGAGUAACACGUGAGUAACCUGCCCCCUUCUUUGGGAUAACGCCCGGAAACGGGUGCUAAUACUGGAUAUUCACUGGUCUUCGCAUGGGGGUUGGUGGAAAGGGUUUUUCUGGUGGGGGAUGGGCUCGCGGCCUAUCAGCUUGUUGGUGGGGUGAUGGCCUACCAAGGCUUUGACGGGUAGCCGGGCUGAGAGGGUGACCGGUCACAUUGGGACUGAGAUACGGCCCAGACUCCUACGGGAGGCAGCAGUGGGGAAUAAUGCACAAUGGGCGCAAGCCUGAUGCAGCGACGCCGCGUGAGGGAUGGAGGCCUUCGGGUUGUGAACCUCUUUCGCUCAUGGUCAAGCCGCAACAAUGGUUGUGGUGAGGGUAGUGGGUAAAGAAGCGCCGGCUAACUACGUG